Molecule: ribosomal RNA, 444 nt
Filed under: Roseibium aggregatum
Lineage: Bacteria; Pseudomonadati; Pseudomonadota; Alphaproteobacteria; Hyphomicrobiales; Stappiaceae
Description: bacterial SSU rRNA
Rfam family: Bacterial small subunit ribosomal RNA
Source: RNAcentral
CUGCAGUGCGGCAGCUUACACAUGCAAGUCGAACGAACUCUUCGGAGUUAGUGGCAGACGGGUGAGUAACGCGUGGGAACCUACCUUUAGGUACGGAACAACAGUUGGAAACGACUGCUAAUACCGUAUGUGCCCUAUGGGGGAAAGAUUUAUCGCCUAAGGAUGGGCCCGCGUUGGAUUAGCUAGUUGGUGGGGUAAAGGCCUACCAAGGCGACGAUCCAUAGCUGGUCUGAGAGGAUGAUCAGCCACACUGGGACUGAGACACGGCCCAGACUCCUACGGGAGGCAGCAGUGGGGAAUAUUGGACAAUGGGCGCAAGCCUGAUCCAGCCAUGCCGCGUGAGUGAUGAAGGCCCUAGGGUUGUAAAGCUCUUUCAGCGAGGAGGAUAAUGACGUUACUCGCAGAAGAAGCCCCGGCUAACUUCGUGCCAGCAGCCGCGGUAAU